CCCUCCGGGGGCUCGGUGUUGGGGACCGGCCCCGCUUCUUCUAGCGGGUGCCGCCCCCGAAAUACAGUGGCGGUCAUGCCGCAGCCUCCUCUGCGUAGUAAUUACAACCUCGCACCGGAGCCGCAGCCUGGCCACGCCGUAAAACCCCAACUUCAUGAAAGGUUGACCUCGGAUCAGGUAGGAAUACCCGCUGAACUUAA
RNAcentral lists this unclassified non-coding RNA (200 nucleotides) under soil metagenome. RNAcentral's name for it is "partial contains internal transcribed spacer 2 and large subunit ribosomal RNA". The record is from RNAcentral.